AGAAACUUAGGUUAACAUCCACCAAACCAAGAGCCUUCAAAGCCCUGAAUAUGGGAUAAAAUCCCGUAGUUUCUG
RNAcentral lists this transfer RNA (75 nucleotides) under Delma concinna. RNAcentral describes it as "tRNA-Trp". It matches the Rfam family "tRNA". From Rfam's summary of the family: Transfer RNA (tRNA) molecules are approximately 80 nucleotides in length. Lineage: Eukaryota; Metazoa; Chordata; Lepidosauria; Squamata; Pygopodidae. The record is from RNAcentral.